This 1321-nucleotide ribosomal RNA is filed under the name metagenome. Its description in RNAcentral is "SSU rRNA". It matches the Rfam family "Eukaryotic small subunit ribosomal RNA", at positions 1 to 1289 of the family's 1831-position model. The record is from RNAcentral.
UCUGGUUGAUCCUGCCAGUAGUGAUAUGCUUGUUUCAAAGAUUAAGCCAUGCAUGUCUAAGUAUAAGCGAACUUAUACAGUGAAACUGCGGAUGGCUCAUUAAAACAGUUUGAAUUUAUUUGAUGAAUGUAUGAGAAUACUACUUGGAUAACCGUAGUAAUUCUAGAGCUAAUACAUGCAACGACGCCCGACCGUUUCACUACGGAAGGGCUGUAUUUAUUGGAUACCAAAACCAUCCUUCCCUCGGGAAGUUUUGUUUGAUGAUUCACAAUAACUGAUCGGAUCGCCACUGUGGUGGCGACAGGUCAUUCAACAUUCUGCCCUAUCAGCUUUCGAUGGUUGUGUAGUGGACAACCAUGGCCAUAACGGGUAACGGAGAAUCAGGGUUCGGUUCCGGAGAAGGAGCUUGAGAAUUGGCUACUACAUCUAAGGAAGGCAGCAGGCGCGCAAAUUACCCAAUCCCGAUUCGGGGAGGUAGUGACAAAAAAUAACAAUACCGGGCCUUUUUGGGCUUGGUAAUUGGAAUGAGGGAGAGUUAAACGGACCAUCGAGUAUCCAUUGGAGGGCAAGUCUGGUGCCAGCAGCUGCGGUAAUACCAGCUCCAAUAGCGUAUAUUAAAGUUGUUGCAGUUAAAAAGCUCGUAGUUGGACUUGUGUGCGCUGUCCGCGGGUGGCCUGCGCCCAAAAGGGCGUUUCGGUUCGGCCCCGGUGGCGCCUUGAAAUCUGCAGCUGGGGGGACGUUGGCCUUAACUGGUCGGCGACCGCACGCCGGCUGCUCGGUUACUGUGAGAAAAUUAGAGUGUUCAAGGCAGGCAUUGGGUGCAAUUGAAUACAUUAGCAUGGAAUAAUAAAAUAUGGCUCCUGCCGUAUUUUGUUGGUUUUGACUGGUGGGAGUAAUGAUUGAUAGGGACGGUUGGGGGUGCUAGUAUUGAGCGGCCAGAGGUGAAAUUCAUGGAUUCGCUCAAGACUAACUUAUGCGAAAGCAUUCACCAAGGACGUCCUCUUUAGUCAAGAACGAAAGUUGGGGGAUCGAAGACGAUCAGAUACCGUCGUAGUCUCAACCAUAAACUAUGUCGACUUGGGAUCGGCGGUAGUUUUUUCAUUAAGACACUGUCGGGACCACGGGAGAAAUCAAAGUGUCUGGACUCUGGGGGAAGUAUGGUCGCAAGGCUGAAACUUGAGGGAAUUGACGGAAGGGCACCACCAGGAGUGGAGCCUGCGGCUUAAUUUGACCCAACACGGGGAAACUUACCAGGUCCAGAGAUGUAGAGGAUUGACAGAUUGAAGCUCUUUCUUGAUCACUUCGGUGGUGGUGCAUGGCC